RNAcentral lists this long non-coding RNA (211 nucleotides) under Elaeis guineensis (African oil palm). RNAcentral describes it as "long non-coding RNA (EGUI_LNC005268)". The record is from RNAcentral. Lineage: Eukaryota; Viridiplantae; Streptophyta; Magnoliopsida; Arecales; Arecaceae.
AGAGGAAAUCAAUGGAGAAGAGCAAGCAGUGGCAAAUAUGGAAAGUAUGGAGAUGAUGGUUUUUAGUGCUUCUCCAAACAAGACAGAGAGUAAUAGGGAAAUAUAAAAAUCUUCAAAAAAGCAACAUACUCGGUCAUCAUCUUCAUCUUCGCCGUAAGCAAAAAUCUUAGUGAAUAAUUCAAAUGAAGGUGAUGAUGUACCUGAGGGGGCC